This 466-nucleotide ribosomal RNA is filed under the name uncultured bacterium. RNAcentral's name for it is "partial 16S ribosomal RNA". It matches the Rfam family "Bacterial small subunit ribosomal RNA", at positions 28 to 507 of the family's 1533-position model. The record is from RNAcentral.
GAUGAACGCUGGCGGCGUGCUUAACACAUGCAAGUCGAACGAUGAAGCCCAGCUUGCUGGGUGGAUUAGUGGCGAACGGGUGAGUAACACGUGAGUAACCUGCCCUUAACUCUGGGAUAAGCCUGGGAAACUGGGUCUAAUACCGGAUAGGAGCGUCCACCGCAUGGUGGGUGUUGGAAAGAUUUAUCGGUUUUGGAUGGACUCGCGGCCUAUCAGCUUGUUGGUGAGGUAAUGGCUCACCAAGGCGACGACGGGUAGCCGGCCUGAGAGGGUGACCGGGCACAAUGGGACUGGGACACGGCCCAGACUCCUACGGGAGGCAGCAGUGGGGAAUAUUGCACAAUGGGCGAAAGCCUGAUGCAGCGACGCCGCGUGAGGGAUGACGGCCUUCGGGUUGUAAACCUCUUUCAGUAGGGAAGAAGCGAAAGUGACGGUACCUGCAGAAGAAGCACCGGCUAACUACGUG